Long non-coding RNA from Triticum aestivum (bread wheat), 1722 nucleotides. RefSeq lists it as uncharacterized. The transcript is spliced from 5 exons. NCBI's taxonomy places the organism in Eukaryota, Viridiplantae, Streptophyta, Magnoliopsida, Poales, Poaceae. The record is from RefSeq and is a predicted model, not a curated record.
GGUGGCCUUGACGUCAGGAAGAACAUCCAAGGUACAUCUUACUGUGAUAUUCAGAUAUUUGUCCGAUGCAUAUACAUAUAGUGGUUCCCUUUUUUGUAUGGGUUAUGUUUCAUACCCUUCUCAUAGGCUCCAAAUGGUCUGUUGUCAGCAUCCAAAACAAUGCGUAGAAAUAAUUUUCCUAUGGGUCUUUUAUGAUCUUUACUUUGUAGGUCUGCAAGCACUACUGAUGAUGUUUUUUCAUGUAAAAAAUGAUAUUAUGAGCUCCUGGAAUCUUUCCUGCAUUUCCUGAUGUACAUUGCUUUUGGAACUACUUGUACAGUCCUGUGAUCUUUUUUUCCCCUCUUCCUUCAACAGCACUUAUGUUUUCCUUCUGUCGCUGCAAACUUAUGUACGUUGGAUGGGUAUCUUGGUUCAUUGGAUGGGUUUCUUGUAUCUUAGGAUGUGAUUUAAGCUCAGGGAUGUUGUAGACUUUACACUAGUUAACACGUAAAAGAAGCUCCAAAUUAUAUUUAUUUCCACCGCAAUCCAAAGCCUGUUUCUAGAGAUGCUUAAGCUCAAAAGAAGUAAUCAUUGCUGUCUUUCUCUUUAAUGGAUGUUAUGUUUCCUUCAAUGUUUGCUAAUCAUGCAUUCUUCAGUUCAUCAACUAUGUGACAAAUGCUUGAUUUCAUAUUGAUCUCCGUGUCCUCUGUUUGUAUUUCAUGCAAGCUGAAUUCUUCUUGUGAACUACUAUCUCUGCAGCCCAACCAAAGAGAGGAAGCUCACCAAUGAAUUGAUUUUAAAUGCUGGCCAGUACAACGACAGCAGCUAAGGAGCAGCUUGAACAUGGAUCAGUGGGCUAGGAGAACUGAGUUUGCAAAGUGUCAGAACGCAACAGCUUCGAAGGCCAACUAAUAAAGACAGGAUUGGAAUGUCAGCUCACCAACCAGCGAGUUGAUUUUGAAUGCUGGUCACUAUAACGACCGCAGCUCAGGAGCUUGCUCUUGGAUCAGUGGGCUAGGACAAAUGAGUUUAUAAAUGUCAUAAUGCAUCAGCUUCAAGAUUCUCUGAGAAAGAUAUAGGGGAAAAGAUCUACAUUUACAAGAAUAAGUGCAAGUGCAGUACAAAGUAUGGUUGUAUCAGCCCCUGCUGGAAGUCAAAAUGAAGAGCCUCUGAAUUUGGGCAGUGAAAAUCAAGUUGCAAAUGAAGUGAUUGAUCUGGAGGGUGAGAAUCAGGACAAAAUAGUAGAUGAGCCUGCAAGGAAGAAACCGAAGAAGAUCUCACAUCUGAAUGUUGGGACCAUUUUGAUAAAACUUACAAGAGGGUGGUGACAAAUGGACAGAAAAUUAAGGAAGCAUGGGCCAAAUGCAAGUACUGCACUUAUGAAGCAAAGAGAAAUAGCAAGAAUGGAACAUCAGUCUUCUUGAACCAUAUUAAGAUGCAUAGAGAAAUAAAGACAAUUAAGGAACGGAUAUUGAAUAAGUGGCUGAUCAACUACUUCAGGAGCAAGUAAUUUAGCAUCUAAAUAUCUUAUAUCAUUCUCACAUGGUGUUGCAAGUGGACUGGUUGAAACACCACGUUGAAGAGAAUUCAAGGACGUGUUAUGGGCUUCUACUUGAUCGACUACUUGCCUUUUACAAUAAAUAAAAACUUCAACAGACCUUUGGAUUAAGUAUUUUUUAAGUACAGCCAGUACUGUUUGUUGUUGCGAUAUUGGUGUGAGUUAUGACUUUUAAAAGCUUGGCC